RNAcentral lists this ribosomal RNA (464 nucleotides) under Vreelandella stevensii. RNAcentral describes it as "partial 16S ribosomal RNA". It matches the Rfam family "Bacterial small subunit ribosomal RNA", at positions 338 to 795 of the family's 1533-position model. Lineage: Bacteria; Pseudomonadati; Pseudomonadota; Gammaproteobacteria; Oceanospirillales; Halomonadaceae. The record is from RNAcentral.
CCUACGGGCGGCAGCAGUGGGGAAUAUUGGACAAUGGGGGCAACCCUGAUCCAGCCAUGCCGCGUGUGUGAAGAAGGCCCUCGGGUUGUAAAGCACUUUCAGUGAGGAAGAACGCCUGGUGGUUAAUACCCAUCAGGAAAGACAUCACUCACAGAAGAAGCACCGGCUAACUCCGUGCCAGCAGCCGCGGUAAUACGGAGGGUGCGAGCGUUAAUCGGAAUUACUGGGCGUAAAGCGCGCGUAGGUGGCUUGAUAAGCCGGUUGUGAAAGCCCCGGGCUCAACCUGGGAACGGCAUCCGGAACUGUCAAGCUAGAGUGCAGGAGAGGAAGGUAGAAUUCCCGGUGUAGCGGUGAAAUGCGUAGAGAUCGGGAGGAAUACCAGGGGCGAAGGCGGCCUUCUGGACUGACACUGACACUGAGGUGCGAAAGCGUGGGUAGCAAACAGGAUUAGAUACCCUGUAGUC